Molecule: transfer RNA, 69 nt
Filed under: Ictidomys tridecemlineatus (thirteen-lined ground squirrel)
Lineage: Eukaryota; Metazoa; Chordata; Mammalia; Rodentia; Sciuridae
Description: Spermophilus tridecemlineatus (thirteen-lined ground squirrel) tRNA
Rfam family: tRNA
About the family: Transfer RNA (tRNA) molecules are approximately 80 nucleotides in length. Their secondary structure includes four short double-helical elements and three loops (D, anti-codon, and T loops). Further hydrogen bonds mediate the characteristic L-shaped molecular structure. tRNAs have two regions of fundamental functional importance: the anti-codon, which is responsible for specific mRNA codon recognition, and the 3' end, to which the tRNAs corresponding amino acid is attached (by aminoacyl-tRNA synthetases). tRNAs cope with the degeneracy of the genetic code in two manners: having more than one tRNA (with a specific anti-codon) for a particular amino acid; and 'wobble' base-pairing, i.e. permitting non-standard base-pairing at the 3rd anti-codon position.
Source: Rfam by way of RNAcentral
GGGGUUGUGGCUCAAUGGUAGAGCUCUCGCCUAGCACACGCGAGGCCCUGGGUUCGAUCCUCAGCACCA